RNAcentral lists this ribosomal RNA (253 nucleotides) under uncultured bacterium. RNAcentral describes it as "partial 16S ribosomal RNA". It matches the Rfam family "Bacterial small subunit ribosomal RNA", at positions 524 to 776 of the family's 1533-position model. The record is from RNAcentral.
UACGUAGGAUGCAAGCGUUGUCCGGAAUUAUUGGGCGUAAAGAGCUUGUAGGCGGUUUGUCGCGUCUGCUGUGAAAAUCCGGGGCUCAACCCCGGACUUGCAGUGGGUACGGGCAGACUAGAGUGUGGUAGGGGAGACUGGAAUUCCUGGUGUAGCGGUGAAGUGCGCAGAUAUCAGGAGGAACACCGAUGGCGAAGGCAGGUCUCUGGGCCACUACUGACGCUGAGAAGCGAAAGCAUGGGGAGCGAACAGG